UGGUAACAGGAAACAGCUUGCUGUUUCGCUGACGAGUGGCGGACGGGUGAGUAAUGUCUGGGAAACUGCCUGAUGGAGGGGGAUAACUACUGGAAACGGUAGCUAAUACCGCAUAACGUCGCAAGACCAAAGAGGGGGACCUUCGGGCCUCUUGCCAUCAGAUGUGCCCAGAUGGGAUUAGCUAGUAGGUGGGGUAACGGCUCACCUAGGCGACGAUCCCUAGCUGGUCUGAGAGGAUGACCAGCCACACUGGAACUGAGACACGGUCCAGACUCCUACGGGAGGCAGCAGUGGGGAAUAUUGCACAAUGGGCGCAAGCCUGAUGCAGCCAUGCCGCGUGUAUGAAGAAGGCCUUCGGGUUGUAAAGUACUUUCAGCGGGGAGGAAGGGAGUAAAGUUAAUACCUUUGCUCAUUGACGUUACCCGCAGAAGAAGCACCGGCUAACUCCGUGCCAGCAGCCGCGGUAAUACGGAGGGUGCAAGCGUUAAUCGGAAUUACUGGGCGUAAAGCGCACGCAGGCGGUUUGUUAAGUCAGAUGUGAAAUCCCCGGGCUCAACCUGGGAACUGCAUCUGAUACUGGCAAGCUUGAGUCUCGUAGAGGGGGGUAGAAUUCCAGGUGUAGCGGUGAAAUGCGUAGAGGUCUGGAGGAAUACCGGUGGCGAAGGCGGCC
Molecule: ribosomal RNA, 670 nt
Filed under: uncultured Pseudomonadota bacterium
Lineage: Bacteria; Pseudomonadati; Pseudomonadota
Description: bacterial SSU rRNA
Rfam family: Bacterial small subunit ribosomal RNA
Source: RNAcentral